This 73-nucleotide transfer RNA is filed under the name Stegodyphus mimosarum. It matches the Rfam family "tRNA". From Rfam's summary of the family: Transfer RNA (tRNA) molecules are approximately 80 nucleotides in length. Their secondary structure includes four short double-helical elements and three loops (D, anti-codon, and T loops). The record is from Rfam by way of RNAcentral. Lineage: Eukaryota; Metazoa; Arthropoda; Arachnida; Araneae; Eresidae.
GCCUUUGUGGUGUAAUGGUCAGCACACGCGGCGGGUAUUCGAGAGGCCCGAGGUUCAAAUCCCGGCAAAGACA